GACGAACGCUGGCGGCGUGCCUAAUACAUGCAAGUAGAACGCACAGUUUAUACCGUAGCUUGCUACACCAUAAACUGUGAGUUGCGAACAGGUGAGUAACGCGUAGGUAACCUGCCUGGUAGCGGGGGAUAACUAUUGGAAACGAUAGCUAAUACCGCAUAAUAUUGAUUAUUGCAUGAUAAUUGAUUGAAAGAUGCUAUUGCAUCACUACCAGAUGGACCUGCGUUGUAUUAGCUAGUAGGUGAGGUAACGGCUCACCUAGGCGACGAUACAUAGCCGACCUGAGAGGGUGAUCGGCCACACUGGGACUGAGACACGGCCCAGACUCCUACGGGAGGCAGCAGUAGGGAAUCUUCGGCAAUGGACGAAAGUCUGACCGAGCAACGCCGCGUGAGUGAAGAAGGUUUUCGGAUCGUAAAGCUCUGUUGUAAGAGAAGAACGGGUGUGAGAGUGGAAAGUUCACACUGUGACGGUAUCUUACCAGAAAGGGACGGCUAACUACGUG
RNAcentral lists this ribosomal RNA (505 nucleotides) under uncultured bacterium. RNAcentral's name for it is "partial 16S ribosomal RNA". It matches the Rfam family "Bacterial small subunit ribosomal RNA", at positions 28 to 507 of the family's 1533-position model. The record is from RNAcentral.